RNAcentral lists this long non-coding RNA (1118 nucleotides) under Dasypus novemcinctus (nine-banded armadillo). RNAcentral describes it as "lncRNA (ENSDNOG00000052455.1)". The stretch from base 343 to 413 matches the Rfam family "tRNA". Lineage: Eukaryota; Metazoa; Chordata; Mammalia; Cingulata; Dasypodidae. The record is from RNAcentral.
AUGACUGAGCUGCUGCCCUUAGACAGGGACAGGCACACGCUCCUCCUUGCCCACUGCUGGUGCACAAACACGUGCCACAAACACGCACGCCCGGGCAGCGCAAGCGUCACACGGGCCUGCACAGCCCGGGGCAAUCGAGAACGCCUCUCUCGACUGAAAGAAGGAGCCGUGGUGGAAGGGGGGAAGAGCGUGGAGAUGGCUCGUGCAUCUCUCAGAAGGGAGGUAAAAACCUACUGGCCGAAAACCCGAGGACGCCGCCUUCACACUCUUCGGUUCCUUAAAUCCUGUGAGGGGAGGAUGACUGCUACGUCAGGAUGGACGAUCGUAAGAACUUGAGGGGGAGCGGGUGUAGCUCGGUGGUUGAGCACCUGCUUCCCAGGUACAGGUCCUGGGUUCAAUCCCCGGUACCUCCUUAAAAAAUAAAAAGGACGUGUGGUUGCUCUCACCGCUCAGCAGCUCCCCGGUGACGUGGCACAUCCACCACUGACGGGUCCCCAUGGCAGCUCCAGGCAAGUCUUCUGGAAGAGAAAGAAUCUUGGUGGCAUGAGAAUGAGCCGUUGGCCAAAUUUACAGAAAGCAAGUAUUUCAGACAUCCCAGAUUCAGAUCGACUUGCUUGCCUGGCAGUAACCACAGAACCUUAGAGCAGAGCCAGCCUUCCCCACGCCGGCACGACUUACGUUUGGGGCCGGGAGCUGUCCUAUCAUCCUCAGAUGUUCCACAGCAUCCCUGGACGCCAGUCCAGAUACCCAGUGGAGACCAAAAAUGUCUCAGACACUGCCAAAUGUCCCCUAAGGAAAUAAAAUGCUCCGACCACUGAGCUGGAGGGAGUUUAAAGAACUUCGACUUCAGAGAUGAGGAAUGGGGUGCUUGCAGAGUGUGUUCAUCAGCCAAAGGGGUGCUGAUGCAAAAUACCAGAAACUGGUUGGUUUUUAUAAAGGGUGUUUAUUUGGGGUAGGAACUUUACAUUUACCAGGCCAUAAAGCAUAAGUUACUUCCCUCACCAAAGUCUAUUUCCACGUGUUGGAGCAAGAUGGCUGCCGACGUCUGUGAGAGCUCAGGCUUUCUGGGUUCCUCUGGGUUCAGCUCUGUUUUCUCCACGAGGUCAGUUAUAGACUAU